CAGAUUUUCUGUAAUUAAGGAGAUGGUGACAAAAGAUUAUCAAAAUUUCAAGUUCCAACAACCUUAUCAGCAGGCUAUGUAUUACUGCUCAUUGAUUUUACAUGACCAAGCAUUGCCAUGGACUGAGCAACUUGAAGUUCUUCCACAUCUUCAAGUUGACAACCUUCUUAAAUUUUAUCCACAGAUGCUAUCAAGGACCUUCUUGGAAUGCUAUAUUGCAGGAAAUAUUGAACCAAAGGAACCAGAAUCGAUCAUACAACACAUUGAAGAUGUCUUUUACAAGGGUCCCCAGCCUUUAUCCUUGGUUUUUUUUUGCAUCUCAGCAUUUGUCUACUAGAGUUGUCAAGCUUGUAAGGGGCUUAAAUUACUCCUAUAAUGCAGAAGGUCUUAAUCCAAGUGAUGAAAAUUCU
This is a long non-coding RNA of Coffea arabica (coffee), 410 nucleotides long. RefSeq lists it as uncharacterized. The record is from RefSeq and is a predicted model, not a curated record. NCBI's taxonomy places the organism in Eukaryota, Viridiplantae, Streptophyta, Magnoliopsida, Gentianales, Rubiaceae.